Non-coding RNA from Paramuricea clavata, 169 nucleotides. The record is from the annotation of a GenBank genome assembly. NCBI's taxonomy places the organism in Eukaryota, Metazoa, Cnidaria, Anthozoa, Malacalcyonacea, Plexauridae.
AUCGACCACUCCCACAAACGUCUACGACCGCGCCUACAUAGUUUUGCAUGUUUACAAUUCUAAUUUUAAACAGCUAAUUACCAAGAACCUGAUUGGCUGUUCAAAAUUAGAAUUGUAAACAUGCAAAACUAGGUAGGCGCGGUCGUAGACGUUUGUGGGAGUGGUCGAU